UCCAGACUCCUGCGGGAGGCAGCAGUGAGGAAUAUUGGUCAAUGGCCGGAAGGCUGAACCAGCCAAGCCGCGUGAAGGACGAAGGUGCCAAGCAUUGUAAACUUCUUUUGUCAAGGGACAAAAUCAGGCUCGAGAGCCUGACCGAGGGUACUUGAAGAAAAAGCAUCGGCUAACUCCGUGCCAGCAGCCGCGGUAAUACGGAGGAUGCGAGCGUUAUCCGGAUUUAUUGGGUUUAAAGGGUGCGCAGGCGGAGGUGCAAGUCAGCGGUCAAAUUGCGGGGCUCAACCCCGUCCUGCCGUUGAAACUGGGGAUCUAGAGUGUGCGAGAGGUAUGCGGAAUGCGUGGUGUAGCGGUGAAAUGCAUAGAU
RNAcentral lists this ribosomal RNA (367 nucleotides) under uncultured bacterium. RNAcentral's name for it is "bacterial SSU rRNA". It matches the Rfam family "Bacterial small subunit ribosomal RNA", at positions 330 to 695 of the family's 1533-position model. The record is from RNAcentral.